RNAcentral lists this ribosomal RNA (1388 nucleotides) under Lampyridae sp. UPOL RK0395. Its description in RNAcentral is "SSU rRNA". It matches the Rfam family "Eukaryotic small subunit ribosomal RNA", at positions 32 to 1343 of the family's 1831-position model. Lineage: Eukaryota; Metazoa; Arthropoda; Insecta; Coleoptera; Lampyridae. The record is from RNAcentral.
UUGUCUCAAAGAUUAAGCCAUGCAUGUCUCAGUACAAACCGAAACAAGGUGAAACCGCGAAAGGCUCAUUAUAUCAGUUAUGGUUCAUUAGAUCGUACUCACAUUUACUUGGAUAACUGUGGUAAUUCUAGAGCUAAUACAUGCAAACAGAACUCCGACCGGAGACGGAAGGAGCGCUUUUAUUAGAUCAAAACCAACGCGGGCGGCGCGGGCCGGCGGCCUCGGUCGUCGCGUCCUCGCCGUCUCAAACAUAGCUCGCACGACGAAUCUGAAUAACUUUAUGCCGAUCGCACGGUCACGCACCGGCGACGCAUCUUUCAAAUGUCUGCCUUAUCAACUUUCGAUGGUAGGUUAUGCGCCUACCAUGGUUGUAACGGGUAACGGGGAAUCAGGGUUCGAUUCCGGAGAGGGAGCCUGAGAAACGGCUACCACAUCCAAGGAAGGCAGCAGGCGCGCAAAUUACCCACUCCCGGCACGGGGAGGUAGUGACGAAAAAUAACGAUACGGGACUCAUCCGAGGCCCCGUGAUCGGAAUGAGCACACUUUAAAUCCUUUAACGAGGAUCAAUUGGAGGGCAAGUCUGGUGCCAGCAGCCGCGGUAAUUCCAGCUCCAAUAGCGUAUAUUAAAGUUGCUGCGGUUAAAAAGCUCGUAGUCGAAAUUGUGUCCUCGGCCGCCGGUUCGUCGCUCGCGACGCCAACUGGCGCGCACGCUGGACGUCCAGCCGGUACUACGAACUCGCCUACGGGGUGCUCUUAACCGAGUGUCCAGGCGGGGGCCGGCAACGUUACUUUGAACAAAUUAAAGUGCUUAAAGCAGGCUAAAUUGCGCUCGCAUACACGCGCAUGGAAUAAUCGAAUAGGACCUCCGUUCUAUUUUGUUGGGUUUUUGUGGAACGACAGACGGAGGUAAUGAUCAAUGGGUGCGGAUGGGGGCAUUCGUAUUGCGACGUUAGAGGUGAAAUUCUUGGAUCGUCGCAAGACGGACUUAAGCGAAAGCAUUUGCCAAAAACGCUUUCAUCGAUCAAGAACGAAAGUUAGAGGUUCGAAGGCGAUCAGAUACCGCCCUAGUUCUAACCAUAAACUAUGCCAGCUAGCGAUCCGCCGAAGUUACUUCUAUGACUCGGCGGGCAGCUUCCGGGAAACCAAAGCUUUCGGGUUCCGGGGGAAGUAUGGUUGCAAAGCUGAAACUUAAAGGAAUUGACGGAAGGGCACCACCAGGAGUGGAGCCUGCGGCUUAAUUUGACUCAACACGGGAAACCUCACCAGGCCCGGACACCGGAAGGAUUGACAGAUUGAGAGCUCUUUCUUGAUUCGGUGGGUGGUGGUGCAUGGCCGUUCUUAGUUGGUGGAGCGAUUUGUCUGGUUAAUUCCGAUAACGAACGAGACUC